UUUCUUUCACAUGUUUUUUUAUGUUUUUUUGUUGUUAUUUUUUUCAUUUGUAGAAUCUGUGUUUCCUUUUUGAUUUGAUGGUGGAUUUGUGUAGUGACUUGUGUUUUAUGGUUAUAAAAAUUUGUGUGUUAAAAAAUUUCUCCCGAUUUUUCUUUGGUUUAUUUGGUUCUCUACUAUCUCUUGGAUAUGAUUUUUUUUUUUCAAUUUGUGUUUUAGCAAAACCUUUACUCAUGCAUAUGUUUGUGGAUUGAAGAAAUUCUCAUUUUGUGUUUCAAAUUAUUCUUUCUUUAUAAUCUAUGAAUCACAUGAUUUUAGUAACCUUGACUUUUUCCGGAUAAGCUUUAGCUUUAUGUUGGCG
This 358-nucleotide long non-coding RNA is filed under the name Capsicum annuum. RNAcentral describes it as "long non-coding RNA (CANN_LNC016332)". The record is from RNAcentral. Lineage: Eukaryota; Viridiplantae; Streptophyta; Magnoliopsida; Solanales; Solanaceae.